CCGGCCUACGGGACGCAGCAGUGGGGAAUAUUGCACAAUGGGGGAAACCCUGAUGCAGCGACGCCGCGUGAGUGAAGAAGUAUUUCGGUAUGUAAAGCUCUAUCGGCAGGGAAGAUAAUGACGGUACCUGACUAAGAAGCCCCGGCUAACUACGUGCCAGCAGCCGCGGUAAUACGUAGGGGGCAAGCGUUAUCCGGAUUUACUGGGUGUAAAGGGUGCGUAGGGGGCAGGGCAAGUCAGAUGUGAAAGCCCGGGGCUCAACCCCGGUACUGCAUUUUAAACUGUCCAGCUGGAG
RNAcentral lists this ribosomal RNA (295 nucleotides) under uncultured bacterium. Its description in RNAcentral is "partial 16S ribosomal RNA". It matches the Rfam family "Bacterial small subunit ribosomal RNA", at positions 334 to 646 of the family's 1533-position model. The record is from RNAcentral.